RNAcentral lists this long non-coding RNA (1497 nucleotides) under Marmota monax (woodchuck). Lineage: Eukaryota; Metazoa; Chordata; Mammalia; Rodentia; Sciuridae. The record is from RNAcentral.
UACCCAUCUUGUUCCAUCUGUUCUAGUUUGAGAACUUCACCUCUCCAUCGCUCUUGACAAAAGAACGAGAUAUGGAAAUUCUGACAUGCUGCCACGUGAACUACUCUGCACCAUUUAGGAUGCUCAGGAAGCACUGGCCUCUUACUCCUCCCAGAUGAAGAUUCUUCUGGUCUUCACUCUGGACAGCUCUGCCCAUCCCUUUUGCACCCCAAUACCAUCCCCACCUCCAGAUAUGCACAAGGCCAGCACUGUCUUAGUGAUGACCUUUCAUCCCUAGAAGACCACCCAUAAUCUCCUCUCACCAUAAUCUCAUAAUUCUUCCACCCAUAAUCUCUUCUGUGUAUCUCAUCUCACCCCCAAUCCAUCUUCUAAGGGAUACAGUUUCUUUGUAGAAAUGUCAUUAUCUAAAAUUAAAUCAAUCUUACAUUUGUUUAUCUAUUUAUUGACUAUUGCCUGGUCAGUAAUGCAAGUUUCUCAAGGAGAAAAAACCUAGUCUUCUCUCAGGUUUGCCAAGAAUCAGGGCUAGAAUAGAUUGGAAACACAAAAGCAUUGGUUGAAGAAUGAAUAUUCUCAAAUGGUUAAAAUGUACAAUAUAAUAGGGUAAAAAGAAAGUCUUAAAUUUUUAGCUUUCUUCCUGAUUAAGCUUUUUUAAUAACUUUACUUCAAAAUUUUUCCUUGCUUACAAAUAUUCUGUUGGCAUCCUUUUCUUAAUUAUACAUCAGUUUUUUUUCUUUGAUUAACUUGGAAUUAUUUAUAUCUUAAAUAAUUUGUUUGUUCAAUAGUUUGAAAAUAUUAUUUGUAAAUAUGCCAUUUGUCUUAACUAUGAGAUAUAUAUCAUUGUAGAGUUUCAAAUGUUGAUAAGAUAAAAUAUAUUCAUUUUAUGUAUUAAAAAUACAAAAGCUACAAAAGUAUCCUGUACCUCAAACAUAAAAACCUCAUUUGAAUACACUGAUCAAUAUUAGAAUCCACCAAAUUCCCAGUAGAUUUUAGGUAAGUUCUGGCAUGAGGUAAUAUGUGAUACACAGAACAAUAUAUGAUAUAUUCUUGCACAAAAUAAAAAUGAAGAAACAUGUGAAUGAAAUCUUUGUGUCCAAUCAGCAAUCUUUGGGACACAUCAGGGAUGGAGAAACAGGUUAAAUGACACCAUGAGAGCAUUGGGGUAAAUCCAGAACAUGACCCUCUACAGGCCCAGUGACUUCAACAGGCAAACCAUGGGAAGAUGGGGGAGGGAAUAGAGGGAAAAAAAUGCAGAUAAAAAGAGACUUAAGACAUAUUACAAAUAAGAACAACUAAUAGACUCAAAAAUCCUAAUUGAUACAAAAAAAUCUCUAUAAAAUGGCAUAUUCAAACACUUAAGAAAACUUGAAAAUAUUCUGGCUAUUAGAUAAUAUCAAAGAAAUAUAUUUUUAAAUUUUAUUAAGAGUUAUGUGACAUUGUAGGCUGAUUCAUAGUGGGGUAGGGAGGGGAGCAUGGGAGGAAUAGACAAACUCUAGAUAG